AUUGAGCGCUGGCGGCAUGCCUUACACAUGCAAGUCGAACGGUAACGCGGGGCAACCUGGCGACGAGUGGCGAACGGGUGAGUAACGCAUCGGAACGUGCCCAGUAGUGGGGGAUAGCCCGGCGAAAGCCGGAUUAAUACCGCAUACGACCUACGGGUGAAAGGGGGGGAUCGCAAGACCUCUCGCUAUUGGAGCGGCCGAUGUCAGAUUAGGUAGUUGGUGGGGUAAAGGCCUACCAAGCCGACGAUCUGUAGCUGGUCUGAGAGGACGACCAGCCACACUGGGACUGAGACACGGCCCAGACUCCUACGGGAGGCAGCAGUGGGGAAUUGUGGACAAUGGGCGAAAGCCUGAUCCAGCCAUGCCGCGUGCGGGAAGAAGGCCUUCGGGUUGUAAACCGCUUUUGUCAGGGAAGAAAUCUUCUGGGUUAAUACCUCGGGAGGAUGACGGUACCUGAAGAAUAAGCACCGGCUAACUACGUGCCAGCAGCCGCGGUAA
RNAcentral lists this ribosomal RNA (498 nucleotides) under uncultured bacterium. RNAcentral describes it as "partial 16S ribosomal RNA". It matches the Rfam family "Bacterial small subunit ribosomal RNA", at positions 29 to 523 of the family's 1533-position model. The record is from RNAcentral.